GACGAACCGUGCGAACGUUGUUCGGAAUCACUGGGCUUAAAGGGCGCGUAGGCGGGCGAUCAAGUCCGGGGUGAAAGCUUUCGGCUCAACCGGAAAAGGGCCUUGGAUACUGAUCGUCUGGAGGGAGGUAGGGGCCCGUGGAACUUCCGGUGGAGCGGUGAAAUGCGUUGAUAUCGGAAGGAACGCCGGUGGCGAAAGCGACGGGCUGGAUCUCUACUGACGCUGAGGCGCGAAAGCCAGGGGAGCAAACGGG
Molecule: ribosomal RNA, 253 nt
Filed under: uncultured bacterium
Lineage: Bacteria
Description: partial 16S ribosomal RNA
Rfam family: Bacterial small subunit ribosomal RNA
Source: RNAcentral